RNAcentral lists this ribosomal RNA (369 nucleotides) under Triticum aestivum (bread wheat). RNAcentral's name for it is "partial small subunit ribosomal RNA". The record is from RNAcentral. Lineage: Eukaryota; Viridiplantae; Streptophyta; Magnoliopsida; Poales; Poaceae.
AUGGAGACUUCUUCGAAAAGCUCUUCCUACAGGUUUGCGAGCAGGCCUACUUUUCUUACUGAUUGCCUCUCUUUGGCAAAAGCAGCGGCGGCAAGAAGUGUAUUGGCAGAUUCCACCCCUUGGACCAUCAGAACUUCUCUAGCUGAAUUUUUCUCCUUUACAAAUGAUCUCCAAGCACAGGUGUAUCACAUAUCAAGAGAGAUCAAUGGUAUUUCUCAUAAUGUGGCUCAUCAGGUUCUUAGAAGUUUACCAGAACCUGACACUAGUUGUUUUGCUUCAGCUCAUACAAACAUGAUAUGCCCUGUUGUUUCUCUCCUGUCUAAUUUCAAUUUCCAGGGCUAUGUAAUUCACGCUGUAAGAUGUUACUGA